Molecule: ribosomal RNA, 406 nt
Filed under: uncultured bacterium
Lineage: Bacteria
Description: partial 16S ribosomal RNA
Rfam family: Bacterial small subunit ribosomal RNA
Source: RNAcentral
AUUGAACGCUGGCGGCAGGCCUAACACAUGCAAGUCGAACGAGUGGCGGACGGGUGAGUAAUGUCUGGGAAACUGCCUGAUGGAGGGGGCUAACUACUGGAAACGGUAGCUAAUACCGCAUACCAUCGGAUGUGCCCAGAUGGGAUUAACUAGUAGGUGGGGUAAAGACUCACCUAGGCAACGAUCCCUAGCUGGUCUGAGAGGAUGACCGGCAACAUGUGAACAGCGUCAAGGGCAAGACUCCUACGGGAGGCAGCAGUGAGGAAUAUUGAACAAUGGGGGCAAGCAUGAUGCAGCCAAGACGGGUGUAUGAAGAAGGCUUUCGGGUUGUAAAGUACUUUAAGCGGGGAGGUGUUACCCGCUGAAGAAGAACCGGCUAACUCCGUUCCAGCAGCCGCGGAAAUUG